AUCCAACUGACGAGUCCCAAACAGGACGAAACGCGCGUUUUGGAU
This 45-nucleotide non-coding RNA is filed under the name Schistosoma margrebowiei. The record is from RNAcentral. Lineage: Eukaryota; Metazoa; Platyhelminthes; Trematoda; Strigeidida; Schistosomatidae.